CUGUAUGCGAAGGUAAUAUGGACCCCUCGUCUUACCAGUCAAAUGACCAUAUAUUCAGACGUGUACAUGUACUGUUGCCAAAUAAUCACCUAAUAUGGACCCCUCUUCUUACCAGUCAAAUGACCAUAUAUUCAGACGUGUACAUGUACUGUUGCCAAAUAAUCACCUUUAUGGUGACUCUUCUUUGUAGAUCUAAUAUUUGCAUUUGUGGAACUUCAUAUCAUCUCUUCUGAAAAAAAAAUCUUGCAAAAAAGAAAAAUAAAAAAGAAAGAAGAGUAAUCAUCAUCUAAG
RNAcentral lists this long non-coding RNA (291 nucleotides) under Manihot esculenta (cassava). RNAcentral describes it as "long non-coding RNA (MESC_LNC006625)". The record is from RNAcentral. Lineage: Eukaryota; Viridiplantae; Streptophyta; Magnoliopsida; Malpighiales; Euphorbiaceae.